This 441-nucleotide ribosomal RNA is filed under the name uncultured bacterium. RNAcentral describes it as "partial 16S ribosomal RNA". It matches the Rfam family "Bacterial small subunit ribosomal RNA", at positions 338 to 795 of the family's 1533-position model. The record is from RNAcentral.
CCUACGGGAGGCAGCAGUGGGGAAUAUUGCACAAUGGGGGAAACCCUGAUGCAGCGACGCCGCGUGAGCGAGGAAGUAUUUCGGUAUGUAAAGCUCUAUCAGCAGGGACGAAAAAAGACGGUACCUGACUAAGAAGCCCCGGCUAACUACGUGCCAGCAGCCGCGGUAAUACGUAGGGGGCAAGCGUUAUCCGGAUUUACUGGGUGUAAAGGGAGCGUAGACGGCAAGGCAAGCCAGAAGUGAAAGGGCAGGGCUCAACCCCCGAACUGCAUUUGAAACUGUUGGUCUUGAGUAUCGGAGAGGCAGGCGGAAUUCCUAGUGUAGCGGUGAAAUGCGUAGAUAUUAGGAGGAACACCAGUGGCGAAGGCGGCCUGCUGGACGACAACUGACGGUGAGGCGCGAAAGCGUGGGGAGCAAACAGGAGUAGAUACCCCUGUAGUC